AAUAGGAUGCCUGAUUAAAGGAUUAUUUUGAUAGAAUAAAUUAAGUAAAAUUUUACUCUUAUUG
This 64-nucleotide transfer RNA is filed under the name Macropsis hainanensis. RNAcentral describes it as "tRNA-Ile". Lineage: Eukaryota; Metazoa; Arthropoda; Insecta; Hemiptera; Cicadellidae. The record is from RNAcentral.